Molecule: small RNA, 422 nt
Filed under: Histoplasma ohiense
Lineage: Eukaryota; Fungi; Ascomycota; Eurotiomycetes; Onygenales; Ajellomycetaceae
Description: hypothetical lncRNA
Source: RNAcentral
UUUGAGAAGCCCUCUGCCGUGAGGGGGUUCAUUCUUCAUGAUUCGGUAAUAUGAGAUCGAGAGACGCUACUGGCCUUUUGAAUUUUCUUUAUUUUAUUUCUCGUUUUUUUGUCUUGUUAUGCGGGACCCAUGCCACCUGAUCUUGAUUGCUUGGUGCCUACAUAUCAAGUCUUGAUAGAAUCCAAGCAGUCACUGCCAUCAAGUGUGGCAGUUUUAUAUAUUUCACUUGCUCCGAUCUUGUGCCACCACUUCAUAGGUUUUUCUCGAGUGAAGUACGCGACAAUGAAUGUUUUAUAAAUACAAAACCGGCGAGUGAUUUGAGGUUUUGUUUCGUAUGAUAUUGGGGCUAGAUCCCUCUAUCAAUCGUUUUAUCGAUGAUAGUAUAUUCACCGUGGAAUAUCUCCAAAUUUCUCAAUGAAGUC